This 369-nucleotide ribosomal RNA is filed under the name uncultured bacterium. Its description in RNAcentral is "bacterial SSU rRNA". It matches the Rfam family "Bacterial small subunit ribosomal RNA", at positions 917 to 1289 of the family's 1533-position model. The record is from RNAcentral.
GGGCCCGCACAAGCGGUGGAGCAUGUGGUUUAAUUCGAUGAUACGCGAGGAACCUUACCAGGGCUUAAAUGUACGUUGCAUGAUUUAGAGAUAGAUCUUUCUUCGGAGCAGAUUACAAGGUGCUGCAUGGUUGUCGUCAGCUCGUGCCGUGAGGUGUUAGGUUAAGUCCUGCAACGAGCGCAACCCCUAUUCUUAGUUGCCAGCGGUUCGGCCGGGGACUCUAAGAAAACUGCCCGCGCAAGCGUGGAGGAAGUGGGGAUGACGUCAAAUCAUCACGGCCCUUACGUCCAGGGGCUACACACGUGCUACAAUGGUGAGGGGACAGAGGGCAGCCACCUGGUGACAGGGAGCAGCAUCAUAACCUAUCUC